CGGGUGAGUAACACGUGAGUAACCUGCCCUUAACUCUGGGAUAAGCCUGGGAAACUGGGUCUAAUACCGGAUAUGACUCCUCAUCGCAUGGUGGGGGGUGGAAAGCUUUAUUGUGGUUUUGGAUGGACUCGCGGCCUAUCAGCUUGUUGGUGAGGUAAUGGCUCACCAAGGCGACGACGGGUAGCCGGCCUGAGAGGGUGACCGGCCACACUGGGACUGAGACACGGCCCAGACUCCUACGGGAGGCAGCAGUGGGGAAUAUUGCACAAUGGGCGAAAGCCUGAUGCAGCGACGCCGCGUGAGGGAUGACGGCCUUCGGGUUGUAAACCUCUUUCAGUAGGGAAGAAGCGAAAGUGACGGUACCUGCAGAAGAAGCGCCGGCUAACUACGUGCCAGCAGCCGCGGUAAUACGUAGGGCGCAAGCGUUAUCCGGAAUUAUUGGGCGUAAAGAGCUCGUAGGCGGUUUGUCGCGUCUGCCGUGAAAGUCCGGGGCUCAACUCCGGAUCUGCGGUGGGUACGGGCAGACUAGAGUGAUGUAGGGGAGACUGGAAUUCCUGGUGUAGCGGUGAAAUGCGCAGAUAUCAGGAGGAACACCGAUGGCGAAGGCAGGUCUCUGGGCAUUAACUGACGCUGAGGAGCGAAAGCAUGGGGAGCGAACAGGAUUAGAUACCCUGGUAGUCCAUGCCGUAAACGUUGGGCACUAGGUGUGGGGGACAUUCCACGUUUUCCGCGCCGUAGCUAACGCAUUAAGUGCCCCGCCUGGGGAGUACGGCCGCAAGGCUAAAACUCAAAGGAAUUGACGGGGGCCCGCACAAGCGGCGGAGCAUGCGGAUUAAUUCGAUGCAACGCGAAGAACCUUACCAAGGCUUGACAUGAACCGGAAACACCUGGAAACAGGUGCCCCGCUUGCGGUCGGUUUACAGGUGGUGCAUGGUUGUCGUCAGCUCGUGUCGUGAGAUGUUGGGUUAAGUCCCGCAACGAGCGCAACCCUCGUUCUAUGUUGCCAGCGCGUUAUGGCGGGGACUCAUAGGAGACUGCCGGGGUCAACUCGGAGGAAGGUGGGGACGACGUCAAAUCAUCAUGCCCCUUAUGUCUUGGGCUUCACGCAUGCUACAAUGGCCGGUACAAAGGGUUGCGAUACUGUGAGGUGGAGCUAAUCCCAAAAAGCCGGUCUCAGUUCGGAUUGGGGUCUGCAACUCGACCCCAUGAAGUCGGAGUCGCUAGUAAUCGCAGAUCAGCAACGCUGCGGUGAAUACGUUCCCGGGCCUUGUACACACCGCCCGUCAAGUCACGAAAGUUGGUAA
RNAcentral lists this ribosomal RNA (1304 nucleotides) under Arthrobacter sp. Its description in RNAcentral is "bacterial SSU rRNA". It matches the Rfam family "Bacterial small subunit ribosomal RNA", at positions 103 to 1417 of the family's 1533-position model. Lineage: Bacteria; Bacillati; Actinomycetota; Actinomycetes; Micrococcales; Micrococcaceae. The record is from RNAcentral.